Molecule: ribosomal RNA, 403 nt
Filed under: uncultured bacterium
Lineage: Bacteria
Description: bacterial SSU rRNA
Rfam family: Bacterial small subunit ribosomal RNA
Source: RNAcentral
UGGGGAAUCUUGCACAAUGGGGGAAACCUUGAUGCAGCGACGCCGCGUGAACGAUGAAGCCCUUCGGGGUGUAAAGUUCUUUCGGCAGGGACGAUAAUGACGGUACCUGCAGAAGCAGCUGCGGCUAACUACGUGCCAGCAGCCGCGGUAAUACGUAGGCAGCAAGCGUUGUUCGGAAUUACUGGGCGUAAAGAGUGCGUAGGCGGUUGGCUAAGUUUGGUGUGAAAUCUCCCGGCUCAACUGGGAGGGUGCGCCGAAAACCGGCUGGCUAGAGUGCGGGAGAGGAUAGUGGAAUUCCUGGUGUAGCGGUGAAAUGCGUAGAUAUCAGGAGGAACACCUGAGGUGUAGACGGCUAUCUGGACCGUAACUGACGCUGAGGCACGAAAGCGUGGGGAGCAAACAG